UAUAGGGAGUACCUGUACUGAGUCAAUGUGCAGGGUACCAGGUAGUUGAGGUAAUAAUGAGACUAUAAGGAGAACCAGUACUGAGUCAAUGUGCAGGGUACCAGGUAGUUGAGGUAAUAAUGAGGCUAUAAGGAGUACCAGUACUGAGUCAAUGUGCAGGGUACCAGGUAGUUGAGGUAAUAAUGAGACUAUAAGGAGUACCAGUACUGAGUCAAUGUGCAGGGUACCAGGUAGUUGAGGUAAUAAUGAGACUAUAAGGAGUACCAGUACUGAGUCAAUGUGCAGGGUACCAGGUAGUUGAGGUAAUAAUGAGACUAUAAGGAGUACCAGUACUGAGUCAAUGUGCAGGGUACCAGGUAGUUGAGGUAAUAAUGAGACUAUAAGGAGUACCAGUACUGAGUCAAUGUGCAGGGUACCAGGUAGUUGAGGUAUUAAUGUGACUAUAAGGAGUACCAGUACUGAGUCAAUGUGCAGGGUACCAGGUAGUUGAGGUAAUAAUGAGACUAUAAGGAGUACCAGUACUGAGUCAAUGUGCAGGGGUACCAGGUAGUUGAGGUAAUAAUGAGACUAUAAGGAGUACCAGUACUGAGUCAAUGUGCAGGGUACCAGGUAGUUGAGGUAAUAAUGAGACUAUAAGGAGUACCAGUACUGAGUCAAUGUGCAGGGUACCAGGUAGUUGAGGUAAUAAUGAGACUAUAAGGAGUACCAGUACUGAGUCAAUGUGCAGGGUACCAGGUAGUUGAGGUAAUAAUGAGACUAUAAGGAGUACCAGUACUGAGUCAAUGUGCAGGGUACCAGGUAGUUGAGGUAAUAAUGAGACUAUAAGGAGUACCAGUACUGAGUCAAUGUGCAGGGUACCAGGUAGUUGAGGUAAUAAUGAGGCUAUAAGGAGUACCAGUACUGAGUCAAUGUGCAGGGUACCAGGUAGUUGAGGUAAUAAUGAGACUAUAGGGAGUACCAGUACUGAGUCAAUGUGCAGGGUACCAGGUAGUUGAGGUAAUAAUGAGACUAUAAGGAGUACCAGUACUGAGUCAAUGUGCAGGGUACCAGGUAGUUGAGGUAAUAAUGAGACUAUAAGGAGUACCAGUACUGAGUCAAUGUGCAGGGUACCAGGUAGUUGAGGUAAUAAUGAGACUAUAAGGAGAACCAGUACUGAGUCAAUGUGCAGGGUACCAGGUAGUUGAGGUAAUAAUGAGACUAUAAGGAGUACCAGUACUGAGUCAAUGUGCAGGGUACCAGGUAGUUGAGGUAAUAAUGAGACUAUAAGGAGUACCAGUACUGAGUCAAUGUGCAGGUUACCAGGUAGUUGAGGUAAUAAUGAGACUAUAAGGAGUACCAGUACUGAGUCAAUGUGCAGGGUACCAGGUAGUUGAGGUAAUAAUGAGACUAUAAGGAGUACCAGUACUGAGUCAAUGUGCAGGGUACCAGGUAGUUGAGGUAAUAAUGAGACUAUAAGGAGUACCAGUACUGAGUCAAUGUGCAGGGUACCAGGUAGUUGAGGUAAUAAUGAGACUAUAAGGAAUACCAGUACUGAGUCAAUGUGCAGGGUACCAGGUAGUUGAGGUAAUAAUGAGACUAUAAGGAGUACCAGUACUGAGUCAAUGUGCAGGGUACCAGGUAGUUGAGGUAAUAAUGAGACUAUAAGGAGUACCAGUACUGAGUCAAUGUGCAGGGUACCAGGUAGUUGAGGUAAUAAUGAGACUAUAAGGAGUACCAGUACUGAGUCAAUGUGCAGGGUACCAGGUAGUUGAGGUAAUAAUGAGACUAUAAGGAGUACCAGUACUGAGUCAAUGUGCAGGGUACCAGGUAGUUGAGGUAAUAAUGAGACUAUAAGGAGUACCAGUACUGAGUCAAUGUGCAGGGUACCAGGUAGUUGAGGUAAUAAUGAGACUAUAAGGAGUACCAGUACUGAGUCAAUGUGCAGGGUACCAGGUAGUUGAGGUAAUAAUGAGACUAUAAGGAGUACCAGUACUGAGUCAAUGUGCAGGGUACCAGGUAGUUGAGGUAAUAAUGAGACUAUAAGGAGUACCAGUACUGAGUCAAUGUGCAGGGUACCAGGUAGUUGAGGUAAUAAUGAGGCUAUAAGGAGUACCAGUACUGAGUCAAUGUGCAGGGUACCAGGUAGUUGAGGUAAUAAUGAGACUAUAAGGAGUACCAGUACUGAGUCAAUGUGCAGGGUACCAGGUAGUUGAGGUAAUAAUGAGACUAUAAGGAGUACCAGUACUGAGUCAAUGUGCAGGGGUACCAGGUAGUUGAGGUAAUAAUGAGGCUAUAAGGAGUACCAGUACUGAGUCAAUGUGCAGGGUACCAGGUAGUUGAGGUAAUAAUGAGACUAUAAGGAGUACCAGUACUGAGUCAAUGUGCAGGGUACCAGGUAGUUGAGGUAAUAAUGAGACUAUAAGGAGUACCAGUACUGAGUCAAUGUGCAGGGUACCAGGUAGUUGAGGUAAUAAUGAGACUAUAAGGAGUACCAGUACUGAGUCAAUGUGCAGGGGUACCAGGUAGUUGAGGUAAUAAUGAGGCUAUAAGGAGUACCAGUACUGAGUCAAUGUGCAGGGUACCAGGUAGUUGAGGUAAUAAUGAGACUAUAAGGAGUACCAGUACUGAGUCAAUGUGCAGGGUACCAGGUAGUUGAGGUAAUAAUGAGACUAUAAGGAGUACCAGUACUGAGUCAAUGUGGAGGGUACCAGGUAGUUGAGGUAAUAAUGAGACUAUAAGGAGUACCAGUACUGAGUCAAUG
Molecule: long non-coding RNA, 2740 nt
Organism: Oncorhynchus keta (chum salmon)
Lineage: Eukaryota; Metazoa; Chordata; Actinopteri; Salmoniformes; Salmonidae
Exons: 8
Source: RefSeq, a predicted model, not a curated record